Molecule: ribosomal RNA, 232 nt
Filed under: uncultured bacterium
Lineage: Bacteria
Description: partial 16S ribosomal RNA
Rfam family: Bacterial small subunit ribosomal RNA
Source: RNAcentral
GACGAACGCUGGCGGCGUGCUUAACACAUGCAAGUCGAGCGGUAAGGCCCUUUCGGGGGUACGACAGCGGCGAACGGGUGAGUAACACGUGGGUGACCUGCCCUUAGCUCUGGGAUAAGCCUGGGAAACUGGGUCUAAUACCGGAUAUGACUCCAUGACGCAUGUUGUGGGGUGGAAANCCUUGUGCGGCUAGGGAUGGGCCCGCGGCCUAUCAGCUUGUUGGUGGGGUGAU